AUAUCCAAAAAUUGUUACGCCACGCCCACUAGAAGUUAUUCAGAUUGUGUUUAAAUAUCGCUACUCUCCUAACUUUAAAAGCAAAGUUGAGGAUGGAAAAGCUAGAAUUUGUGCUGAUAAUCUCAAGGAUGAAGAUAUUCAAAGGGCCAAUAAAAAAUGUUGGAUUAAGUUUGUGGCAUCACCCACAACAUACUAUUCUUAUCACAGUUUACAUGCGAUACCGGAAAUAAGCCUUCUAAUUUGACCAAAAACAAUUUUCCUUUUCUUGCGCUUUCGCUGGAGUUUAUUCUUUCACAAUAUCAUCGGCAAUUUCAAUCCUACUCAAAAACUUGGUUGAUCUCACCCUGUGUUUGGGAUAUGAUAUUGUUUCCACGAAUAGUUCAUGGAUUCCCAGAAGUGUUCCAGAAAUAGAAGAUGAUGGCAGAAUUUUCUUGAAAUUAAGAUAUCUCAACUUUCAAUGUGAAAUAGCAUAUUCUUAUGCUGGUACAGGACCCAACAUCUGCUACACUUGUAUGCGUCUCCAUGUGCAUGAUCAAGACAGUGACAAGAGAAAAUUCAGCCUUUUUACAACAUCUAUGAUAAAAGAUGAGAAUGGCUUGAGAAAGGUUUUCUAAAAUACCUGGAUAUUGGGAAGAAAAGGCAUACAGUCGGCCAUUAGUGGGAGAAGUUAAUCGCCAGAAAAUGCUGCUCAGUGAUGCCACAAAAAAUGGCUUGAGAAUGGCAUCUAUUUCUAUGGCUGCGAUUAUUUGUAUUGUUUUGGACAGUGGUGCGAGCUAUGUUUUACCAUGGUGAAUAAACCAAGACCCUUUAGAGCAGGGGUUCUCAAACUUUUUGUGUUGCGGAGCCCUUGAAAAAGUUGACUACUAUUCACGGAGCCCCAAAAUAUAUGUUAAAAUUGUUACUUUCCGAAUAAUAUUCCUGAGUAAG
Non-coding RNA from Styela clava, 927 nucleotides. NCBI's taxonomy places the organism in Eukaryota, Metazoa, Chordata, Ascidiacea, Stolidobranchia, Styelidae. The record is from RefSeq and is a predicted model, not a curated record.